UACGAAGGGAGCUAGCGUUGUUCGGAAUCACUGGGCGUAAAGCGCACGUAGGCGGAUUUGCCAGUCAGGGGUGAAAUCCCGGGGCUCAACCUCGGAACUGCCUUUGAUACAGCAAGUCUUGAGUUCGAGAGAGGUGGGUGGAAUUCCUAGUGUAGAGGUGAAAUUCGUAGAUAUUAGGAAGAACACCGGUGGCGAAGGCGGCCCACUGGCUCGACACUGACGCUGAGGCGCGAAAGCGUGGGGAGCAAACAGG
Molecule: ribosomal RNA, 253 nt
Filed under: uncultured bacterium
Lineage: Bacteria
Description: partial 16S ribosomal RNA
Rfam family: Bacterial small subunit ribosomal RNA
Source: RNAcentral